This 435-nucleotide ribosomal RNA is filed under the name uncultured bacterium. Its description in RNAcentral is "partial 16S ribosomal RNA". It matches the Rfam family "Bacterial small subunit ribosomal RNA", at positions 29 to 507 of the family's 1533-position model. The record is from RNAcentral.
AGCGAACGCUGGCGGCAGGCUUAACACAUGCAAGUCGAACGGGCAUAGCAAUAUGUCAGUGGCAGACGGGUGAGUAACGCGGGGGAACGUACCUGUUGGUUCGGAACAACACAGGGAAACUUGUGCUAAUACCGGAGAAGCCCUUACGGGGAAACAUUUCUCGCCGCAAGAUCGGACCGCGUCUGAUUAUCUAGUUGGUAGGUUAAUGGCCUACCAAGGCGACGAACAGUAUCUGGUCUGAGAGGCUGAUCAGCCACAUUGGGACUAAGACACGGCCCAAACUCCUACGGGAGGCAGCAGUGGGUGAUAUUGGAAAAUGGGCGGAGGCCUGAUCCAGCCAUGCCGCGUGAGUGAUGAAGGCCCUAGAGUUGUAAAGCGCUAUUGUGCGGGAAGAUAAUGACGGUACCGAAAGAAUAAGCCCCGGCUAACUUCGUG